UAGCUGUGAUGAAAAUCUAUUUGUGUCCGGAGGCUGUUUCUUCGGAUAACAGCCUGUGACGGUCACAACCCUCUAAGAAGUUCUGAGCUU
Molecule: small nucleolar RNA, 90 nt
Organism: Ziziphus jujuba (common jujube)
Lineage: Eukaryota; Viridiplantae; Streptophyta; Magnoliopsida; Rosales; Rhamnaceae
Product: small nucleolar RNA U61
Exons: 1
Source: RefSeq, a predicted model, not a curated record